GAUGAAGAACGUAGCGAAAUGCGAUACUUGGUGUGAAUUGCAGAAUCCCGUGAACCAUCGAGUCUUUGAACGCAAGUUGCGCCCGAAGCCAUUAGGCCGAGGGCACGCCUGCCUGGGUGUCACACGUCGUUGCCCCCCCAUCUACUCCUUCGGGAUUGCGGGGGGCGGAUGAUGGCCUCCCGUGCGCCUCGUCGCGCGGUUGGCAUAAAUGCCAAGUCCUCGGCGACGCACGCCACGACAAUCGGUGGUUGCGAAACCUCGGUUGCCCGUCGUGUGCGGUCGUCGCGCAUCGAGGGCUCGAAAAAAUUGCCGGGCUCCGGCUCGGCUUUCAACGCGACCCCAGGUCAGGCGGGGUUACCCGCUGAAUUUAAGCAUAUCAAUAAGCGGAGGG
RNAcentral lists this unclassified non-coding RNA (391 nucleotides) under soil metagenome. RNAcentral's name for it is "partial contains 5.8S ribosomal RNA, internal transcribed spacer 2, and large subunit ribosomal RNA". The stretch from base 1 to 122 matches the Rfam family "5.8S ribosomal RNA", at positions 35 to 154 of the family's 154-position model. The record is from RNAcentral.